GUUCAGAUGAUGAAUUUAACCGUUCAACUGCUGAAUGAUACAGACAUGAACUAAUAAAAAACUUAAUUCUGAUAGAG
Molecule: small nucleolar RNA, 77 nt
Organism: Kogia breviceps (pygmy sperm whale)
Lineage: Eukaryota; Metazoa; Chordata; Mammalia; Artiodactyla; Physeteridae
Product: small nucleolar RNA SNORD5
Exons: 1
Source: RefSeq, a predicted model, not a curated record